Molecule: non-coding RNA, 82 nt
Organism: Ramaria rubella
Lineage: Eukaryota; Fungi; Basidiomycota; Agaricomycetes; Gomphales; Gomphaceae
Source: the annotation of a GenBank genome assembly
GGGCGCUUGGUUUAGGGGUAUAACGUUCGCUUAGCAUGUAUGAUGUUGCGAACGGUCCUGGGUUCGAUUCCCAGAGCGUCCA